RNAcentral lists this ribosomal RNA (443 nucleotides) under uncultured bacterium. RNAcentral describes it as "partial 16S ribosomal RNA". It matches the Rfam family "Bacterial small subunit ribosomal RNA", at positions 338 to 795 of the family's 1533-position model. The record is from RNAcentral.
CCUACGGGUGGCAGCAGUGGGGAAUCUUGGGCAAUGGGCGCAAGCCUGAUGCAGCAACGCCGCGUGAAGGAAGAAGGCUUUCGGGUUGUAAACUUCUUUUCUGAGGGACGAAGAGAGUGACGGUACCUCAGGAAUAAGCCACGGCUACCUACGUGGCAGCAGCCGCGGUAAUACGUCGGUGGCAAGCGUUAUCCGGAUUUAUUGGGUGUAAAGGGCGUGUAGGCGGGAAAGCAAGUCAGAUGUGAAAACUGAGGGCUCAACCCUGAGCCUGCAUUUGAAACUGUUAUUCUUGAGUGCUGGAGAGGCAAUCGGAAUUCCGGGUGUAGCGGUGAAAUGCGUAGAUAUACGGAGGAACACCAGUGGCGAAGGCGGAUUGCUGGACAGUAACUGACGCUGAGGCGCGAAAGCGUGGGGAGCAAACAGGAUUAGAUACCCUUGUAGUC